UUCAAACCCUAAAUGAACACCCUAUUCAAUUUGCAACCACAAAAGCCGCAAGGUCCAAGCCCCCUCCUGCUCCUCACGCCGAAGUCAGCAAGAAUGCCGACGGCGCGCCUCUGCCGGUAAAAAACUUCUCCUUUUCCCUCGUUCUUUCGUUUAUUUGUUUUUAAAAACAAGGAAGAAAAUAAAAAAGGUACAAAACAGUAAAGAGAAAGGAAAAACGGAACCAAUCUCAAUACCUUCAAAACUUUUUUUUAUUCUCUGUUUUUGCUUUCUUCAAUCUUUUGAUACAAAGAAUUUUUUCUCUCAUUUCGUCUGUAUCGUUUUUUACACUGAAAAAAUCCCCCACUUUACAGAUUAAAAUCGGCCUUAUAUAGCUAAUUAAUACCAAAAAUCCAAAAAGAAAAAAUCAAAAACCCACUUAUUUUUCGUUAUUUGUUGCGCUUGUGUGCCUCUAUUUUUGCAGGUUUGGUGGUGAAGAGGGCGCAUAUACGUGGAGGCACAAAUCGCACGGAAGGGACCCUGGCUCCGAGUCGAGCGGUGACGGGGGUUGUUGGGAGCAGAAGCGCGCAAAAAGAGGGUGACAGUUGCGGCGGCUACUAGGGUUUUUGACUUUUGAUUUGGGUAAAAAUUUGUUAAAUUUUGGGCUUGUUGGGCUGUUGGUGUUUUGGGCUUGUAAUUAGGGUUAAUAUUUGGGCUAUUGGAUUGGGACUUUGGUUUGUACGGGCCCGGGUAAAUUGGGCUUAUUAUAGCUGCCCCUCUUUGCUUGUUGUCGUGUAACGGGAACAGAGCAAAGACUGAAAAGCCCAAUUGUGCCCGGUCUUACUAAGCUUCAACUUCCUCAAUGCUUCAUUUCUUCAGGUAGCAUCAUUCCUUCCUACUGCAUCUUCAGAGGUAUAGGAACCCGUGCUUCGAUCCACUCCACUGCAACAUCAGGGAGAUAGGAUUCGUACGUUGUAACUUUUCAAAAGAACAAAAUUUGCUAUCUUUAAUCUGCUCCACUGCAACUUUAGGGAGAUAAGACUUAUAGCUUCAAUUUGUUCUGCUACAACUUGAAAAAUAAAUCGGAUGCGAUCUGCUCUACUGUAACUUCAGAGAGAUGAGAUCUGCGGUUUUAAUCCACUCCAUUGCAGCUUCAAGGAGAUAGGAAUACUGGCUUCAACGUACUCCACUGUAACCUCAGGGAGGUAAAAUCCACCAUCUUUGAUCUGCUCCACUACUGCUUAGGGAGAUAAGAUCUGUAAUCUUUAAUCUAUUCCACUGUUGCCCAGGGAGAUAGAAUUACUGGCUUCAAUGUACUCCACUGCAACCUCAGGGAGGUAAAAUCCACCAUCUUUGAUCUGCUCCACUACUGUUUAGGGAGAUAAGAUCUGUAAUCUUUAAUCUAUUCCACUGUUGCCCAGGGAGAUAGAAUUACUGGCUUCAAUGUCUCCACUGCAACCUCAGGGAGAUAAAAUCAGCCAUCUUCGAUCUGCUUCGCUGUUUAUGUAGGAAGGCAAGAUCUUCUAUAUUUGAUCUACUUGACGCCAGUACAUGAAGACAAGAUCUAUUUUCUUCGAUCUACUUCGCCACCAGUACGGGAAGAUAAGAUCUGGUAUCUUUGAUCUACUUCACGCCAGUAUAUGAAGACAAGAUCUGCUUUUUCAAUCGAUUCCACUGCCGACCGGGGAGGUAGAAUUACUGGCUUCAACAUACUCCACUGCAACUUCAGGGAGGUAAAAUCCGCCAUCUUCGAUCUGCUCCACUACUGCUUAGGGAGGCAAAAUCUGUAAUUUUCAAUCUACUUUGCCGCCGGUAUGGGAAGAUGUAUAUUCGAUCCACUUCGCUACCAAUAUAGGAAGACAGGACCUACUAUCUUUGAUCUACUUCACGCCAGUACAUGAAGACACGAUCUGUUUUCUUCGACCUACUCCAUCACCAGUAUGGGGGGACAAGAUCUGUUUCUUUGAUCUACUUCACGCCAAUACAUGAAGACAAGAUCUACUUUCAUUGAUCUACUCCACCACCAGUAUGGGGAGACAAGGUCUGUUGACUUUGAUCUACUUCACGCCGAUACAUGAAGGCAAGAUCUGCUUUCUUUGAUCUACUCCACCACCAGUAUGGGGAGACAAGAUCUGUUGACUUUGAUCUACUUCACGCUGAUACAUGAAGACAAUAUCUACUUUCUUUCGAUCUGCUUCGCCACUAGUAUGGGAAGGCGAGAUCUGUAUAUUCGAUCUAUUUCACGCUAGUACAUGAAGACAAGAUCUGUAUUCCUUCGAUCUGCUUCGCCACCAGUAUGGGAAGGCGAGAUCUGUUAUCUUUGAUCUACUUCACGCCAGUACAUGAAGACAAGAUCUGCUUUUUCCUUCGAUCUGCUUCGCCACCAGUAUGGGAAGGCGAGAUUUGUAUAUUCGAUCCACUUCGCUACCAAUAUAGGAAGACAAGACCUGCUGCUUCUCAAAACCUGCUCAACUGUUGUUCAGGGAGAUAAGGCUUUAUGAUUUCACCAAUCUGUUCUCUGGGGAACAUGACCUGUAUAAUUCACUUUAUGAACCUAACUAUGCCUAAUGAUUAAGAUGUCAUGAUCAAAUGAAUCAAAUGCUCCUAACUAGGCGUGUAUGAAUGACAUUUGAAUGAAUGCAGAAUGUCAUUUUUUCGAGAAUGAUCCCUCAUUUUCACUUAGGUUAUCAUUACUCAAAGUUUAUUUAAAGUUUCAUCGCUAAUGUGCUAGAGCACCCUCUUGCUCAGCUGGCGUCUCGAAAGAAACACUUGACCAGAUUGCCCCUCACUGUAAACCUCCAAGUUUGAUCCAUUGGGAUGCAAAAUUUAUACCAUCUUUCUCCCGUUGUCACCCAAGAGUAAAAAGAUUUGGUCUUUUCUCAAUCCUCUACUAUCACAAUUCAAGGAUACAGGAUAUGAAACUCUUUGGUCCCUUACACCAUUCCCAGGGUGUCAUACUAAAUUCUCAUGCACAAAUGAAGAAUGUUCCUCUCCAAGAACAACUUCUUCUUAUUAUUCGGUGAUCAUUGCCUGCUUGUUCAUUGAAGCCUUGUCACCAACAUGACACAUUGCCAUUUUGUCCAAUCGAUGUUUUAGGCAACAAAAUUUAAAGGGAUAGUCUGAAUUUAGACUUUUCCUUAUUAGAUUUCCAACCUGGUGCGUUCUAAACAAUAGUCCUGUUUCAGGUUCCUGUAUUAUUUAGAAACUUCUAGAGUAAUAUGCAAAACUUCCCUUGUGAAAGUUUUAUUAGUCUGUUAACCAUUAUUCUAAUGCAACAUGCUUGCAAAAAGAUCAUGGAUAAGAAUAGAGUUGGCUCUGAGCAUAGCUCGAAAUGAAUAAAUUAUCAAGGAUAAUAAAGAUGGAUAACAAGGAAAUUGAUUUAGGAAUGCAUAUCUUGGAAAUAAAUGAAGUGUUCCAAGAAUAACAAAAAUAGUAUAAGGAUUAGGUGCCCUAGAUAUCGCAGCCUGAACUUCUCUGUACAGACUUUCUGAAGACCAUUCUGACUUUAACAUGUGUUUAGGAGAUCUACAGUACUUUGUCGAUGCCCCCAAAAUGUCGCCUACCCUUUCCUGUUGAUUCAGGUAUAGCAAAACCACUGCAUGCCCCGCUCUGAUCAGUAUAUGAGCUGCUCUGAUUACUUUAUGCCCCAUUCUGAUCAAUAUUUGAGCCGCCCUUUUCGGGUUUUCAACUUAAAUCCCCUUUGGUCUAAAGCGCCCUUUGCAAGUUUUCACCUUAGCCUCUCCAUUUUUUUUACUCAAGGCUCCCUUUGUAGGGUUUCACCCUGGUCUCUUUUUUUUUUACUCAAAGCGCCCUUUGUAGGCUUUCACCUUGGUCCCACCUUUUUUAAGCAGAGUAUUUCCUGACUGAAUCUAAGUUUACAGGACUUUGUAAAUUUUUACCAUCCAUCUCACUCAAGAUCAAAGCUUCUCCAGAAAAGGCUUUCUUUAUAACAUAUGAACCCUUCUAAUUUGGCCUCUAUCUUCCUCUAAAAUCCUUUUGUAUAGGAAGGAUCUUUUUCAACACUAGUUCCCUCUUGUGAAAUUCUUUGGGACGAACCUUCGGGUCUUCCUCUUAGGAUAAAAUGUAGAGAAAUGACAAUUCGACUUCAAUGAGUAAAGCUAUGAUAAGCCAAAGAGGAGGAUAUUGCCCCAGCAAAGAAAGUUUACUGCAUCGUUCAUAGCAUCGAUGUUGAACCUACUGCCCAUUUCUAACAUCAUGUUGUUAUUCAGAUUACAAGCUAGUGCUUAACCCGAGCAUAUCUGGGUAUGACCAUGUGAAGACAUCAUUGAAUUCUUGGGGUAGCUCUAUAAGGUCCCGCCUCAUCUUUGUGAUCAUGUCAAUUCACCAAGCUCACAAUUUCUGAUAAUUCAUCGCGAUGUAGGAUCUGUCUAUCCUCUUAUUCUAUCACCCUCCUCAAGUCUGGAGAUAAGCUACAAUCUAUGUCAUCUUCAAAGUCAUGAGAUCCCUCUAAACACAUGUCUCACUCAAAAGGAAUUUUUGAGUCUGUAGCAGCGUCACUCAUGACAUUGAUAUCUGGGGACCCAUAGUAGGUAUCCGAGAAUAUACAAAAGAAUGUAUGAAUAAUAUGAAUGAAUGGUUUGGCAGAGAAAAAAAAUCCAAAAAAAAAUGAAAAAACGUAAAGAAUGAAAGAACAUUUGCUCAAAGAUUAUUGCAAUAAUGUAUUUCAUUAAAAUAAUAAUGUUCAGACGUGAGCCUAUUUCAUAAAGAAAACCUUAUUGCUUCUAGGCUGAAAGCAACAAGUGUGUUCUGAACAUUACUCUAACAGACUUUAAAUACUUCAGGGGUUUCCUCCGCAGUCUCAUUAUUUAGAACACCUCUAAGGCAAAUAUCUAACAAGGACCCUUUAAAUUGUGUCUGCAUAUAUGGCAUCGAUGUGCAAAUUUCUCACCACUUUUUCAUACAUUGCAGUCCCUCUAUCCUCAAUCAUGAUUGGGUAGCAGAUUUCCUGCGCUAGACGAGUCACCAAACUUGAUAAUACCCAUGUUGAUAAGUCUUUCAACUUGCUUCUUGAAGGCGGUGCAAUUCUCAAUCGAGUGUCCCGUAAUUCUCGCGUGGUAGUCACAUUGUGUGUUCGCAUCAUACCAUUCGGGAUACGGAGGUUGUAGAGGCUUCACAUGAAAAGGGGAAACAACAUGUGCAUCAAACAAAUUUUGAUACAGUUCCUUAUACGGUACUGGGAUUGGUGUAAACUAGAACUUUUCAGUCUUUAUGCCGGAAUCUUACCUCGAAGAAUUUUGUUGAUUACCAACCACCUUUCUUGGCUGAACAGUAACUGAUUUAGAGUAACCCGUGUUGUUCACCUCAUUUUCUCUUCUUUUUGAGACUGACCUCUUGUUACUCUCCUAUAUAUUAAUUUUCCCACUUCUUAUCACAUUUUCGAUCAUUUCACCAUUCAUAAUUAUGUCAGAAAAGCUUUUUGUAGCAUUUCCUAACAUAUGCGUAAUGAAUGGGGCUUUCAGUGUGUUAAUAAAUAGCAUGGUCAUUUCUUUCUCCAAGAGCGGUGGCUGGACUUGGAUUGCGACUUCCCUCCAUCUUUGUGCAUAUUGCCUGAAGCUUUCACUCGGCUUCUUCUUCAUAUUUUGAAGGGUGAUUCUAUUAGGAGCCAUGUCUGUCACAUGACUAUAUUGUUUCAUGAAUGCUUGCGCCAAGUCUCUCCAUGAACCAAUCGUGGCACGACUCAACUGAUUGUACCACUUGGAUGCUGCCCCUGCAAGGCUGUCUUGGAAGCAAUGUAUUAAUAGCUGGUCAUUAUUAACGUAUCCAGCCAUUCGCCUGCAGAACAUGGUGAUAUGAGUCUCUGGGCAAGUCGUCCCAUUGUACUUCUCGAAUUCAGGCAUCUUAAAUUUAUGAGGAAGUACAAGGUCUGGCACUAAACUCAGCUCUUUUGCGUCAAUGCCUCGAUAACUUUCAGUGACUUCCAUCGCCUUGAACUUCUCCUCGAGCCACUUACAUCUCUCUUCUAACUGUCUCGGCAACUCCUCCUUCACUCUUUCCUUCUCAACCACUUCAUCAAAGUCAGGAACGGUAGAGUUAAUAGGAUUAUUUUCGGGAUUAAAACCUGGCCCAGUUUGAAGGUUCGAAAUACCAGCUCGAAAUUGCUGAGGCAUGAUGGUGACAGUAGAUUUACACGGGUGUUCAGCUUGUGCUCGCUCAUGUGGAGGGGUGAAACCUGGAGGAUAGAAAAGUUCAUUAUCAUUUCCCUCAUCGACAUCUGCCAUGGGGCCCUUUCCUUUGUCACCUCCCUUAGUUAUCAGUUGGGUUAACUUUGCCACUAUAUCUUCUUGGGAUUCUCGCAUCUUCUCAGACAUCUCUUGUUUCAUCUUGUCUAACCGCUCCUGCAUUUGUAGCUGAAGCCGGUCUUGCAUAUCAUUUUGGUACUAUUCGAGCUUCUCUAAUCUCUAAUCCAUAUCUUUUAUCUUUGCUCAAGUGCCAUAUCGGUGUUGGUUUUCCGAUUUAACUGAAAUAAUUUUACUCAAUUAGGCUCUUUCAAUAGAUUUUAAUGCAUAUGAUACUAUGUAAUGCAAAUGCAUGGGAUGAAUGCAAAAAGAGACGUUGAUUCUGAUUCAAUUCCAUUUAGAAAACUUUUCUAGAAGAUAAAUUUCUUUACAUAAAGCAGAGAUAUAUAUACGGCUUUGCCCUCAUACUCCAAGCGAGGACAUCUUCUCCUUCUUCAUCUGGAUGCUAAGAUAAAUCUUGCAAAUUCUUCAAAAGGGGUUAUCUCCUCUACCUCUUUUUUACUUGAUCCUGGUUAUAAUCCAACGUCUGCCCAUCCCCGUAAUGCUCCUCAACUUCUUUAAGAUAGUUGGAAUGUCAGAAACUCUUGAAUAAUUGGCUUGACCUUGAGGCACGAAGUAAAGUUAUGUGUUCCUCCAUCACCCUUCUCCUAUCACGUUUUCUUGGACCUUAUUCGGACGACCAUAUUGUCAUCCACUUUAUCAAGAAACCCAUUUUCGUAUGACAAGCUCUCUAUUUAGUAAUCGAACUCGAAUCAACAUCUCUUUUCUAAGAUGCAAAUGUAAUGCAAUCAUGAUGUCAUGUAAUCAAAACAAAAUAAACCUAAGUCAGUAUCCCACCAAAAAGAUAUAAUCCAAUACAAACAUGAAAUAGCCAGAACAUUUAUUCAAGAAUCCUCUAAGGUUUGGUAUAGCUCUACCUAGGGCAAGUUCUUAAAGCUCACUAUAUGAGGUUUAGUUUCUAGAGUAAGGGUACCCGAACCAGCAGAUUCCUCGAUCCUCACCCAUUAUAGGCUCAUAUGGACCGAGUUCAGUUCAGGGGAAUACAUUUCCCUAUGGCUGCACGGAGAUGAAAAUCUCACGAGAACAUAGGUACGGAUGUAUCCCGGAAGCGGUCCACUACCCUGCACGGAGGUGAAAACCUCACGAAGGACUAGUUUCUCGCUCCCACUUAAAGGGUAAAACUGACCAUGUAAAAUGCCAAUGCAAAGUUGCCAAAAUACCAUGAUAAAACAUCAAUGAGUGCGAAGGGUACUCAUGAAAUUUUUUAAAAACUUUUGAUUUUUGACACAAAGACAAAUAUAAUCAGUUUAUGGCUCGACUCUCUAAAGUCCCCAGCAGAGUCGCCAAGCUGUCGAAACCGUUUUUUUUUAAAACAAAAAUUUUAGUUUCGACUUAAAAAUAAAAACUGGAGUCGCCACCGAUCCUUGAUUGGGGUGUGAUCGGCUCACCUUAAAAACAAUUUUGGUCUGCGAAAUUUGAGAAAACAGGUUCGGGAGUCAGUUACGCACGAGGAAGUAUUAGCACCCUCGUAACGCCCAAAAUUGGUACCAAAUUGAUUUUUUUUAAUGCCUUUGUGUCGAAAAUUUGAAAAAAAAUUUAAAAGGAAACUUUUUAUUUCAUGAAAAAAUGAUAAGACAUUCUUAUUUCAAAGAAAUAAAACACCACACCCAGUGAGUUAGGGCACAAUGUCUUUAAAUCUUCAAAAUACUCGAAUAUUGCCUCUUGCUUUUGAAAAUUCUUAUUUCGAGAAGAAAAUGUCAUGACCAGUAAGUUAGGACCCAACAUUUUGAAUUCCCGAGAAUAAGCUUUUAUUUAAAAUUUGCGAAUUUAUUGCAAAACAAAUACUUGGCUUUCUAAAUUCAUCGAAAAAUAAUCGCAAUCCAGUAAGUUAGGACACAAUCUUUCCCGAGAAUCAUGAAUGCCAAAUAUUUUGGAAAUUUGUAAAAAUAUGAUUUUAAUACUUUGAUAAAACCCAAAAUAUAUUUCCCGAAAGGUAUGUUAAAAGUUAAUGUAUAAUAUGAAACACAACUUUAAUUUCAAACAUAUAUGAAUAAAUAUUUACAAAUAUAUAUACAAGUAGGUAUAAUAUACAACUAAAUUUACAAGCAUGUGUACGCAUACAUUCAACAUGUAAAUAUAAGUGUACAUAUAAAAAGACGGAAUGAAAUAUAUCAAUCAAAAUUUAAUAAAAAUGCAUGUAUGUAUUUGAAAAUCGUGAAAAUAACAUAAAAAUAUAAAAAUAUGUACAUAUGUAUAUAUCUACAAAAAAAUGUAUAAGUAUAUAUGUAUUGGUAAAUCAUGAAAAUAUGUGUGUAUUUAAAAGAUUAUAUAUGUACAAUAUGUAUAAAAUAAUAGAAUAGAUAGAACAAAAUGUUUAUAAUAAUUUAAGAAUAUAUAUAGAAUAUAUGUACCACAGAAAAUGAAUAUAUAUUUUAAAUUACAAAAUAUGAGAAAUAUAUGUGUAUUUUGAAAGGUGUAUAUGUAUAUAUAAGGUAUAAAGUAUAAAGUAUAUAAAAGUUUAAAAUAAUAAUAAAAAAGCUAGAAAAACAUGUGAAUAAAACAUAUGCACGAAUUUAUAAAAACUUAAACUGGAUAUAUAUAUAUGUAUUAAAAAUAUGCAUAUUAUAUAUGGAAAAUAUGUGUAUGUGCUAUAUGAAAAAGGCAUGUGUAUAAAUAUGGCAGUAAUAAUAAUAAUAAUGCUAAUAAAUGAAAUAACAGUAGUAAUAGACGGUGGCUAAAUCAAAAUUAAACAAUAAUUUUAGGGUCAAAAUCUAAAAAGGGACUAAAUCAAAUUGAACACGAAAGGGGAAGGACCAAAGAAACAAAUAUCCCCGCUGCAAUAGAAAACGCGGGUUUAGUCGGGUUCUGGGUCGGGUCACACGGGUUAUUGGGUUACAUUAAAACGGGGCCGUUUUUCAAACCAGAUAAAAUCCCCUUUUUCAAACCCUAAAUGAACACCCUAUUCAAUUUGCAACCACAAUAGCUGCAAGGUCCAAGCCCCCUCCUGCUCCUCACGCCGAAGUCAGCAAGAAUGCCGACGGCGCGCCUCUGCCGGUAAGAAACUUCUCCUUUUCCCUCGUUCUUUCAUUUAUUUGUUUUUAAAAACAAGGAAGAAAAUAAAAAGGGUACAAAACAGUAAAGAGAAAGGAAAAACGGAACCAAUCUCAAUACCUUCAAAACUUUUUUUUAUUCUCUGUUUUUGCUUUCUUCAAUCUUUUGAUACAAAGAAUUUUUUCUCUCUUUUCGUCUGUAUCAUUUUUUACACUGAAAAAAUCCCCCACUUUACAGAUUAAAAUCGGCCUUAUAUAGCUGAUUAAUACCAAAAAUCCAAAAAGAAAAAAUAAAAAACCCACUUAUUUUCCGUUAUUUGCUGCGCUUGUGUGCCUCUAUUUUUGCAGGUUUGGUGGUGAAGAGGGCGCAUAUACGUGGAGGCACAAAUCGCGCGGAAGGGACCCUGGCUCCGAGUCGAGCGGUGACGGGGGUUGCUGGGAGCAGAAACGCGCAAAAAGAGGGUGACAGUUGCGGCGGCUACUAGGGUUUUUGACUUUUGAUUUGGGUAAAAAUUUGUUAAAUUUUGGGCUUGUUGGGCUGUUGGUGUUUUGGGCUUGUAAUUAGGGUUAAUAUUUGGGCUAUUGGAUUGGGACUUUGGUUUGUACGGGCCCGGGUAAAUUGGGCUUAUUACAUUCAAUCUUAUGAUACUUUCAAGUAGGUCUCCCUAAUUUGGUAAGAAUUCUGUUUUUCUUUUCAAGCUUCAUUGAUUAAUCUCUAGAAAAUUAGGAUUGUAGUUUUUUUUUUUGUGAUCGAUUAGUAUUUUUAUGCAAUAUUUAGUUUUUUAUUUAUUAAAUGAUUUUGAGAUAUUAAUUUUGUACGAGAUUCCUAACAUAGUGAUUGACUAAUAAUUUAUAAAGGUUGAUUAAUACAAAUCCUUGAAGAAAUUAGGAUUGAUUGUAUUUAUAAUCUUGAAGUUCUUGAAUAUUGAUUAGAAAUUUAAUAUUUUUACUUAGAAAUUAUUGUUACUAGUGUGAUUAUUGUGAAUCUUGUGUUUAAAAUUUUGAUGUAUUGCAUUCUCGUGACAACAAUAAGCAUUUAAGUGAUUUUUAUUUUUGUAAAAGAAAAUUACUAGUUGUAUAUUGACUUCGCGAACACCUUUAUGUGUUUAAGACUUAAAUUUAUUUGUUCUAAAUAUUUAAUAGGAAUGGAAAAAUAUUUUAAAAGGAAAUCUAGUAAAGUGGAGGAAGAACAACAAGAAAAAAAAUAUUAUAUAUAAAUUUAUAUAAAUUUUAUAAACAUUUUAAUUUAAAAAAAGUUGAGCCCACAAUCCAAAUUUCUUGUCUUUGCUCCUGCCUAACAUCUUAAUUGAGUAAUAAUUUUUAGAAGUUGAUUAAUACAAAUCUUUGAAGAAGUUAGGAUAGAUCGCAUUUUUAAUCUUCAAUUUCUUGAAUUAUUGAUUAUAAAUUCUUUUUUUAGUUUAAAAUUUAUUGUUUCUAGCGUGAAUCUUGUAUUUAUGUUCAGCUUCUGUUUGAAUUGUAUUUCCAUGACACCAAAAAGCACUUAAAAAAUUUUUAUUUUUGUGAAAGAAAAUUACUAGUAUGGCUUCAUGAAAACAAUUUAUAAAUAUUGAAUUUAUUUUUGUGUUGUGCCUCAAUUUAUCUUAUAUUUUGUAUAAUUUUUCAUAGCAAUUCUAUUUUCUAAGUUGUUAUUUGAUGAAUGGAAAAUAAUUACAUAUUGAACUUUUAGCAUAGAAUUUUAUAAAUAUUGAGUUUAUAUUGUAAAAUUAUUUGGUAUCACUACACCAAAACAGGUUUUAGCAGCGUUUUUAGGCCUAGCGCCGCUAAAAGUAUUUGCGGCGCUUUUGAAAGCGCCGUAAAAAAUGCCGCUGAUGUCAAUGCCGUUAACGUUUGCAGCAUUUAUUGAAAUAAACGCCGCUAAAGGUCAUGUUCUUUAGUCGCUUUUCCUUAAAACGCCGCUAAAGGCCAUGUUCUUUAGCGACGCCUUUCCCACAAACGCCGCUAAAGGCCAUGUUCUUUAGCGGCGCUUUUCCCACAAACGCCGCUAAAUGCCAUGUUCUUUAGCUGCGCUUUUCCCACAAAUGCCGCUAAAGAUCAUGUUCUUUAGCGGCGCUUUUCUCGCAAAUGCCGUUGUAAUAGGCCUAUUUUGACCAGGCCCAAAACAUACCCAAAUCCAAAUAAAUAAAAUCAAACAAAACCAAAUUAAAAGUCUAUCAAUCCAAUUACAAUGGGCCAAAUUCAGAUUGAAGCCCAAAUACCAGACCCGAUUACAAACCCAAUAUCCAGAAAACCCAAUCAGCCCAAGCCACCUAACCCUAGCCCAACACAAAAACAAAUCAGAAAACCCUAGCAUCAUAGCUUCCAGCGCUGCAGCCACCAGGGUUCUCCCUCAGCCUCACCCGUGCCUCCGUACGCAUCACGUCUACCCUCCGUACGGCCGUACCUGCGUAGCAUACAAACAAACAACAAGAGAAGUGUAGAAAAAAGAAAUAACAUAAAAAGAAAAAGAAAAUAAGUUUGUAUUUUUUUUCAUUUUUGCUUUUCUUUCGGGGGCUAUAAAAAAGCCUUUCAAAAACUUGUAAUGGACACGCAAGAUCAAUACAAAGAAAUAAUACAAAAAACAGAAAAUCAAAAAGUUUUGAAGGUGAUUUUUUUAUUCGAUUUUCGUUACUGUUCCCUUUUUUUUAAAUCGUGUAUAUAAAAAAGGGGGGUGAAAGAGGAGAUCUUACCUGGAGACGCCCUUGGAUCCACGCGAAAAGGAGCCGAAAAGCCCUUGGUGGUGAGGCUCCGACCACCGUUCACGGUGGAAUUGCGGCGGAGGAACGGUGUAAAAAGCUAGGGCCGAAACCCUAGCAGAGAAAUAGAAGCAGCCCUUUUUUACUUUUCUUUUUUUGGGGCAGAUGUUGCUUAUGUUUUUUUAAUGAAAUUUUUUGUUUAAGUAGCAACGCAAUACGGUGUCGUUUGAUAGCCCUCGACCCGCGCAGUGACCCGACCCGAGGGAAGGAUCCGCGCGUUUUGGGUCUGAUGGCCUAUUUGCGCAAUUGGUCCCUCUGAUCUUGCAGGAUUUUUAAAUCGAUCUUUUUUAUUUUUUAAUAUUUGCCCCACAUUUUCGAUAUUGUUCCAUUUUGGCCUAUACUGCUACAAUGCGUUUUGAGGAAUAUGGAAUAUUGCUUAUUUAGACCCCUAUGAAAUACGCACAUUUGAUUUUGGUUUUUUUAAUUUCAUUUUAAUUUUUGUUUUUCCUUAUGAUUUUGGUUUUGAAUCCAAUUUAAUCCAUAAUUCAAUUUAUUCAUUUUCUAAAAUUUUAUCUUGAUUUUGUUGUCUUUAGUAUAUAUUUAUUUAUAAACCUAGCAUUAUUUGAAUAUUUAAGUUUUAAUAUUGUUUUAAAAUUUAUUAUUAGAAUUAUUUAAAAUAUAAUAUACUAUUAUUUUAAACUAAUAUUAUCUAAACGUACCAUACAUAGUUAUUUUAAUUUGUUAUAUAUUAUAACUUUAUUAUUUGACCAUGUGAAUUCGACUUUGCUUACAUUCAAUUCAAUCAAUCCAGAAUAGUGAAUCCAACCUUCUAAGUUGAAGUUUUUUCCAAUGAUGAAAGGUACUAUGUCACAUGAGGAAGUUUUUCCAAAAACCAAAAAUAUAAGAGUGGUGAAGAGGUGGCAUGGUGCUACCUUGGAGAUUUCGUAAAAUGGAUGACUUGGCUUAGCAUUAUAAGUUAAGUGAUACUAACUCAAUUAGUAGCAAUGGUUUUUCGGUAUCAUUCUUACUUUGCUCAUUUUGGAAAUUUUGAGAAUUGACAUUUAUUUAUUUUUCUAGUUGCAUCCUAUUUUUUUAAGGUGAGAUAAAUAUCCAAUUUUUUGUGUCUUUUAAGGAUAUUUUUUACUUAGUAUUCUCCAAUUUUGUAAUCUCGUUUUGGAUCUUUAUAUCAAUAAAUUUUUAUUGACUUAACAAAACAAAUUCAAUUGAUAAAUUUGUUAGAUCUGGCGCAUUAAGUGUAGUAUAUUUAUUUUGUAUACUUGUAUUUUUUUAAACAAGCUGGUUUAAUAAAAAUAUUCAUUAAUUACAUUAAUACCCUUUGUAUAUUUUUCGUGAUGUUUUUGCACACAAAGCAAAAUGGAAGCAAAUAUUAGCUCAUUGGUUAUUUAGUGUUUAACUAAUACUAAGCGACAUUAUGUGGACAGAUUGAAAUAUGAAAAUAUAACUUGUAUUAGUAGAUGAACCUAAACAUGUCCUUAGUCUAAUCGAAAAUGAGCAAAUUGAUUGAAAGACUAAUAUGCUGUCUAUCAAGUCCAAUUAGGGAUAUGCUUGGUCUUGAGCAUCAAAGUGGAUGACUACCAGAAGAUAGAGAUAUUGAUAUAGCCGACUGGACUGAUAGUACAUCAAACAGAACCCAAGUAGAAUAGAUCCUAGAUCCGUUUAUGGAUUUGUUCACUUGUAACAUUCAUAGUGUGAGAUAACUUAAUCCUGAGUGGAUGAUGUAUUAUGCAUACGUGACUUGUAUACUUUGAUGUAAGUAAAAGCCUAAGUUCAAAUAGAUAAAGAACUGAAAAAUGAUGCGUUGGGUAUACGACUUCUGUAGUAUGUAGCAUCACUCACAAUAGUGGAACUCAUAGCCCAACUAAUGCGUAAAUGAUAUCCUCUCAUCGACAUUACAUGAUAGAUGAAAAGAAAACAUGGUGACGAGUUGUUUGUCUUUGUGAUAAAUGACUUGAUUACUAUUUUAUAAUAAUUGAUUUUUUAUGAAGGAAGAUGUAAUGAUUACCAUGAGACAAAAUAGGGUGAUAUUGGAAGAAUAAAUUUGUCCCAAAGUGAUUAAGGAUAUCUUAUGAAGGUAAUACACUUAUGACAAGGUCAUUGAAUGAGCACUGAUUGAGUAGCUUUCGUAAUGGUAUGUAAUUAGGGAGAGCUCAAUCAUGAUACUAUAGUGGAAUGACUUCGUGACUAAAUAAGUUUAUAAUUAAUAGGUGAAAAAUUGGAACUUAAUUAUAAAUUAUUUGAGCCCUAAUUAUAUAUGUUUAAUCGGUCCCUCCACUAACUCGUUGAAAUCAUAAAUAAAUUGUAUGUAGAACCAAAUGGACAUAAAUGACUGAAAAUGAUUAAGUUAGAGAAAUAGACCGCAUUCACAAAUGAAUGUGUUUUUUCACUAAGUAAAGAAAUGACUUGAGAAUUAAUUUAAGAUUUUCGAAUUAUUAUUUAAGUAAAUAUAAUUAAAUAAUUGAAGUUCAAAAAUAGAAUUAAAUUAAUUAGUCAUUAUGAAUCCAUUGAAUAUAGAAAUUAAAUAUAUUUCCUCAUAGGUUCUUUUAUGGUAAAGUUGUCAUGAGUUUAGCGAAAUUAGAAUGGGGUUGACAAAAUUAUUUAAUUUGGAAAUUAAUGUAUUUAGUUUGAUUAACUAAAAACAAAUAUUGGGUUGAAUUAAAUUAUAAAGUGCUGUGUCAAAAGUUCAGGAAGCACAUAUUGUCACAUCUUAAAAACCGGGUUAGAAGAAUUGGGAUUGUGAAAUUAUGUUAAGUGAGUUAACCUGGUUCAGUGGAUAGGUGUUGUGCUUACAUGUGUGAGGUUCUAGAUUUGAGCUCUUCCUUUGAAAUUUUGUUCAUUUGUAGCUCAAUUAUUAUCUCCAGUUUUUUGACUU
RNAcentral lists this long non-coding RNA (14866 nucleotides) under Gossypium barbadense (sea-island cotton). RNAcentral describes it as "long non-coding RNA (GBAR_LNC014763)". The record is from RNAcentral. Lineage: Eukaryota; Viridiplantae; Streptophyta; Magnoliopsida; Malvales; Malvaceae.